GAUGAACGCUGGCGGCGUGCCUAACACAUGCAAGUCGAGCGAACCCUUCGGGGUGAGCGGCGGACGGGUGAGUAACGCGUGGGUAACCUGCCCUGUACACACGGAUAACAUACCGAAAGGUAUGCUAAUACGGGAUAACAUAUGAGAGUCGCAUGGCUUUUGUAUCAAAGCUCCGGCGGUACAGGAUGGACCCGCGUCUGAUUAGCUAGUUGGUAAGGUAACGGCUUACCAAGGCAACGAUCAGUAGCCGACCUGAGAGGGUGAUCGGCCACAUUGGAACUGAGACACGG
RNAcentral lists this ribosomal RNA (290 nucleotides) under Clostridium sp. W3RG7. RNAcentral's name for it is "partial 16S rRNA". It matches the Rfam family "Bacterial small subunit ribosomal RNA", at positions 28 to 329 of the family's 1533-position model. The record is from RNAcentral. Lineage: Bacteria; Bacillati; Bacillota; Clostridia; Eubacteriales; Clostridiaceae.